Molecule: ribosomal RNA, 211 nt
Filed under: uncultured bacterium
Lineage: Bacteria
Description: partial 16S ribosomal RNA
Rfam family: Bacterial small subunit ribosomal RNA
Source: RNAcentral
AGUUCGGAUUGCAGUCUGCAACUCGACUGCAUGAAGCUGGAAUCGCUAGUAAUCGUGAAUCAGAAUGUCACGGUGAAUACGUUCCCGGGUCUUGUACACACCGCCCGUCACACCAUGGGAGUCGGAUAUGCCCGAAGUCAGUGACCCAACCGCAAGGAGGGAGCUGCCGAAGGUGGAGCCGAUGACUGGGGUGAAGUCGUAACAAGGUACC